This 592-nucleotide long non-coding RNA is filed under the name Neodiprion lecontei (redheaded pine sawfly). RNAcentral describes it as "uncharacterized LOC124294558". Lineage: Eukaryota; Metazoa; Arthropoda; Insecta; Hymenoptera; Diprionidae. The record is from RNAcentral.
CCCACACGUCGAACAUGCGUGUUCUACUGCGGUUCACGUAAUUUUCCAUUGUCUCCUUCUCCCGCCUUAUAUGUCAACUACCAUUAAGAAAACUGGAUCGACGAAGAAGCAGAGUGGCAGAGUUGCAGCGUCAGCGAUUCAAAGAAAGGCUCGCUCGGAUACUUGGAUCGCGGAUCUGAAGUAAAUGGAUGUUGUGAGGUAUUGAACAUGGCUUACUAACACAAGUUUCAAUGCACGGAUUACGGGGACGACAAGAGGAGAACUAGACGUGUGUUACCCUUGGCUCGGUGGAGCGUGAAUUAGUGUAGUUUUGGGUAGUUUUUGCAUGCGGACGAAGAUGAAACGCCGAGGAAACAUUCGUCUGUUUCUCGCAUCGGCAGUAGUAUCACACAAUGCAGCGAAAGACAGAGAAGAACAUCAGGGCAGUAACCGAAGCUGACCUCUGAGACAACCUGAUUCUCCGCCUGCCUGCUGCAAUCGAAAGAGCGGUAUCGGCAUGGACAGGUUGCACCUCCACUCCUCCACGGACCAGCGACCACUUGUCGAUUUGGUUUGUUUGUCAUCAACGAUGCUCGAGCACUCCGUAGUUUUC